AUCAUCUGUUUCUUAAAUAUUUAUUGAAUUUGACUUUUAAGUGAAAAGGCUUAAAUAAAACAAAAAGACGAUAAGACCCUAUAAAUCUUUACAAUAAAUAUAUUUUAUAUUUUAGCUUAUAAGUGUAUAAGAAAUAAAAAUAUAGGUUUGUUGCGCUGGGGCGGCGUAGAUAUAUAAAUAAACUGUCUAUAAUUUAAAUACAAUAAUCAUUGCUUAAUACAAAUUGAUCCUUAAAUAGAUUAAAAGAUUAAGAUACUUUAGGGAUAACAGCGUUAUUUUUUUUGAGAGUUCUUAUCGAAGAAAAAGUUUGCGACCUCGAUGUUGAAUUAAAGUAUCUCUAUGGUGUAGCCGCUAUAAGAGAGAGUCUGUUCGACUUUUAAUACUUUA
Molecule: ribosomal RNA, 387 nt
Filed under: Neolithodes brodiei
Lineage: Eukaryota; Metazoa; Arthropoda; Malacostraca; Decapoda; Lithodidae
Description: partial 16S ribosomal RNA
Rfam family: Bacterial large subunit ribosomal RNA
Source: RNAcentral